ACUUUUGCUAGAGGAAGAGCUAGAUUGGAUAAUUGCUUUUUUUGUUUGUUUGUUUUUGAUAAUUGCUUUUUUAAAGUUGGUGACAAAGGUUGCCAGGGGAGCUGAGAUUAAGAUAAUGAUAUUACUUUCUUCCUUGCCUUCCUUUUUAGGAUUUAUUUCCAAUGAACAUGGACAAAAGAGUUUACAGCAAACAGUCCCAAGCAGACUUCUUUUUUGUUUUUGUUAAUACUAGGGUAUCAAUGUAAAUUUUUCUUUGUUCUUGUUUCCUUUUUCCUUCAGUCCCCAACACCCUUCCUGCUUAUUUUUCCAAUAUAAUACACAGCUGGGCCCACCUUACCACAUCCUCGUUGAUACCAACUUUAUCAACUUUUCCAUAAAAGCCAAACUGGACUUAGUGCAGUCAAUGAUGGACUGUCUGUAUGCCAAGUGUAUCCCAUGUAUAACCGAUUGUGUGAUGGCUGAAAUUGAGAAAUUGGGGCAGAAGUAUCGAGUGGCUCUAAGGAUUGCCAAGGAUCCAAGAUUUGAACGAUUACCAUGUACACACAAAGGAACCUAUGCAGAUGA
This 564-nucleotide small RNA is filed under the name Pan troglodytes (chimpanzee). Its description in RNAcentral is "retained intron". The record is from RNAcentral. Lineage: Eukaryota; Metazoa; Chordata; Mammalia; Primates; Hominidae.